This 564-nucleotide ribosomal RNA is filed under the name Triticum aestivum (bread wheat). RNAcentral describes it as "partial small subunit ribosomal RNA". The record is from RNAcentral. Lineage: Eukaryota; Viridiplantae; Streptophyta; Magnoliopsida; Poales; Poaceae.
AUGUAUGAAAUGGAAGCCCUAAGUGAUCUCCACUCCAAAAGAUUAUUUUUCAAAAAAAUAUUUGGUUCCGAGGACUAUUGCCCUCAUGUGCUAAAAGGAAUUGCAAAUAAAAUACCCAAGAAAUGUGGUGGCCUCCCAUUAUCAAUUAUCAGCAUAUCAAGUUUAUUGGCAAACAUACUGAUGGUCAAAGAUGAGUGGGAGAGAGUGGAGGCCUCCCGCCCUGGACAGUCUGCCCAACGACAUGACUCAACGAGCUGCAGCAGCUGCGUGCCGCCGAGCCGCUCCAACGAGAAACAGGCGCCACCGUCGGCCCCAGCUUCAGGCAUCUGUUUGACAAUCUAUGUGCUGAGAAGACGGGCAUGGAAGAUGCAUAGUCGUGCAGUACAGUCUGCACAGACAAGUGUUGCUAAACUUUCCAUGAACAAAUUCGGAGUUUCCGACAAGUUUAAAUUCUUGCAGACCAGCACAAUGUAUACACGUUGUGAUCAUUGCAAGCAAUGCGUGGACGGUUGCAAGAUUACCUGGGUUAUCGUGUUAAGUUUUCAGCUUUGGAUGGUUCCAUGA